GCUUCCAUGGGAAGUGAACGAAACUGCCUUGGUAGAGAUGAAGACUGCCUAAAACUCGGAGGAUGUGUACAAUAAAUGGCAUGGGAUGCAUCCCCUCUUAUAUCAAUUGCCAUGCGUCGAGUCCUAGAGGAAACUUUAUUUAGAUUCUAGAAUGUCGUAGCACCAACGCCAAAUUCCAUGUCUUAGCCAAAUUCCAUCUUC
Molecule: long non-coding RNA, 201 nt
Filed under: Elaeis guineensis (African oil palm)
Lineage: Eukaryota; Viridiplantae; Streptophyta; Magnoliopsida; Arecales; Arecaceae
Description: long non-coding RNA (EGUI_LNC020941)
Source: RNAcentral